ACCCAGGUGAAGAGUCCAAAAUAGGACGAAAUGUCCAUCGUGGAU
Molecule: non-coding RNA, 45 nt
Filed under: Trichobilharzia regenti
Lineage: Eukaryota; Metazoa; Platyhelminthes; Trematoda; Strigeidida; Schistosomatidae
Source: RNAcentral